Molecule: ribosomal RNA, 510 nt
Filed under: uncultured bacterium
Lineage: Bacteria
Description: partial 16S ribosomal RNA
Rfam family: Bacterial small subunit ribosomal RNA
Source: RNAcentral
GACGAACGCUGGCGGCGUGCUUAACACAUGCAAGUCGAACGAAGAGCGAUGGAAGCUUGCUUCUAUCAAUCUUAGUGGCGAACGGGUGAGUAACGCGUAAUCAACCUGCCCUUCAGAGGGGGACAACAGUUGGAAACGACUGCUAAUACCGCAUACGAUCUAAUCUCGGCAUCGAGGAUAGAUGAAAGGUGGCCUCUACAUGUAAGCUAUCACUGAAGGAGGGGAUUGCGUCUGAUUAGCUAGUUGGAGGGGUAACGGCCCACCAAGGCGAUGAUCAGUAGCCGGUCUGAGAGGAUGAACGGCCACAUUGGGACUGAGACACGGCCCAGACUCCUACGGGAGGCAGCAGUGGGGAAUCUUCCGCAAUGGACGAAAGUCUGACGGAGCAACGCCGCGUGAGCGAUGACGGCCUUCGGGUUGUAAAGCUCUGCUAAUCGGGACGAAAGGCCUUCUUGCGAAUAGUGAGAAGGAUUGACGGUACCGGAAUAGAAAGCCACGGCUAACUACGUG